CCCUUAGAUGUUCUGGGCCGCACGCGCGCUACAAUGAUGCGGGCAACGAGUGCUGCUCCUUGGCCGAAAGGCUUGGGGAACCUUGAAAACUGCAUCGUGCUAGGGAUAGAUGAUUGCAAUCGUGCGUCUUGAACGAGGAAUGCCUUGUAAGCGUGAGUCAUCAACUCGCGCUGAAUACGUCCCUGCCCUUUGUACACACCGCCCGUCGCUCCUACCGAUUGGAUGGUCCGGUGAACUGGUCGGACUGAUAAUCGUCACUGCGGGUGCAGUAGCAUUACGGAAAGUCCGGUGAACCUUAUCAUCUAGAGGAAGGAGAAGUCGUAACA
Molecule: ribosomal RNA, 326 nt
Filed under: uncultured eukaryote
Lineage: Eukaryota
Description: partial 18S ribosomal RNA
Rfam family: Eukaryotic small subunit ribosomal RNA
Source: RNAcentral